RNAcentral lists this ribosomal RNA (305 nucleotides) under uncultured bacterium. RNAcentral describes it as "bacterial SSU rRNA". It matches the Rfam family "Bacterial small subunit ribosomal RNA", at positions 337 to 656 of the family's 1533-position model. The record is from RNAcentral.
UCCUACGGGGGGCAGCAGUGGGGGAUAUUGGACAAUGGGGGGAACCCUGAUCCAGCGACGCCGCGUGAGUGAAGAAGUAUUUCGGUAUGUAAAGCUCUGUCAGCAGGGAAGAAAGCAAUGACGGUACCUGACCAAGAAGCCCCGGCUAACUACGUGCCAGCAGCCGCGGUAAUACGUAGGGGGCAAGCGUUAUCCGGAUUUACUGAGUGUAAAGGGAGCGCAGGCGGCAUGGCAAGUCAGAUGUGAAAGCCCGGGGCUCAACCCCGGGACUGCAUUUGAAACUGUCAGGCUGGAGUGCAGGAGAG